Molecule: unclassified non-coding RNA, 276 nt
Filed under: Hevea brasiliensis (rubber tree)
Lineage: Eukaryota; Viridiplantae; Streptophyta; Magnoliopsida; Malpighiales; Euphorbiaceae
Source: RNAcentral
CUGACAGUCCACAACAAGCAGGAUAUCAUGGUCAUUCCUAAAAAACACAAAUGGGGUUGAUUGAUUUUGCUUAAUUAAUCAUCCUGCUACCAAAAAAUUACCUCUGCUUGCCAUAUAUUCUCCGUAUUCUCUUCUGCAUUAAUAAAAUGGAAUGAAGUUUUUGUACUUCCCUCUGUUUCAGAACCUAGACUAGCUACAAAAACUUCAUUCCAUUUUAUUAAUGCAUUUUAUUAAUACCUUAUAAUCACUAACAUGAAGCAAAGGACAAGAUACAUG